AACGUAGGUUCCGAGCGUUAUCCGGAUUUACUGGGCGUAAAGCGCGUUCAGGCGGUUUGGCAAGUCGGGCAUGAAAUCUCUCGGCUCAACCGGGAGAGGUUGUCCGAUACUGCUGGACUUGAGGGCAGUAGAGGGUGGUGGAAUUCCGGGUGUAGUGGUGAAAUGCGUAGAUAUCCGGAGGAACACCAGUGGCGAAAGCGGCCACCUGGACUGCACCUGACGCUGAAACGCGAAAGCUAGGGGAGCAAACAGG
Molecule: ribosomal RNA, 253 nt
Filed under: uncultured bacterium
Lineage: Bacteria
Description: partial 16S ribosomal RNA
Rfam family: Bacterial small subunit ribosomal RNA
Source: RNAcentral